AUCAAGAACUUGUGCGGGUCUGCUAUGCUGUCACUAGAUGAAAUUCCAAUCAAUAUAUAGUUUUUCUAAUAUAUAAAUUUUUAAUUUAUACGGCUGGACAGUAUUUGGUUGUACAUAUUAAAGAUGAUCAGACAAUGUAUACCAUCUUGGGCAUCUCAUCACAAGGGAUGUUUAUAGUAGUUGAAAUUUUUAUCAAGUUGGC
RNAcentral lists this long non-coding RNA (202 nucleotides) under Elaeis guineensis (African oil palm). RNAcentral describes it as "long non-coding RNA (EGUI_LNC000673)". The record is from RNAcentral. Lineage: Eukaryota; Viridiplantae; Streptophyta; Magnoliopsida; Arecales; Arecaceae.